This 301-nucleotide ribosomal RNA is filed under the name uncultured bacterium. RNAcentral describes it as "partial 16S ribosomal RNA". It matches the Rfam family "Bacterial small subunit ribosomal RNA", at positions 509 to 808 of the family's 1533-position model. The record is from RNAcentral.
CAGUCGCCACGGUAAUACGUAGGUCCCGAGCGUUGUCCGGAUUUAUUGGGCGUAAAGCGAGCGCAGGCGGUUAGAUAAGUCUGAAGUUAAAGGCUGUGGCUUAACCAUAGUACGCUUUGGAAACUGUUUAACUUGAGUGCAAGAGGGGAGAGUGGAAUUCCAUGUGUAGCGGUGAAAUGCGUAGAUAUAUGGAGGAACACCGGUGGCGAAAGCGGCUCUCUGGCUUGUAACUGACGCUGAGGCUCGAAAGCGUGGGGAGCAAACAGGAUUAGAUACCCCAGUAGUCCCUGUCUCUUAUACC